AGAAGCUUGCUUCUCUGAUGUUAGCGGCGGACGGGUGAGCAACACGUGGAUAACCUACCUAUAAGACUGGGAUAACUUCGGGAAACCGGAGCUAAUACCGGAUAAUAUUUUGAACCGCAUGGUUCAAAAGUGAAAGACGGUCUUGCUGUCACUUAUAGAUGGAUCCGCGCUGCAUUAGCUAGUUGGUAAGGUAACGGCUUACCAAGGCAACGAUGCAUAGCCGACCUGAGAGGGUGAUCGGCCACACUGGAACUGAGACACGGUCCAGACUCCUACGGGAGGCAGCAGUAGGGAAUCUUCCGCAAUGGGCGAAAGCCUGACGGAGCAACGCCGCGUGAGUGAUGAAGGUCUUCGGAUCGUAAAACUCUGUUAUUAGGGAAGAACAUAUGUGUAAGUAACUGUGCACAUCUUGACGGUACCUAAUCAGAAAGCCACGGCUAACUACGUGCCAGCAGCCGCGGUAAUACGUAGGUGGCAAGCGUUAUCCGGAAUUAUUGGGCGUAAAGCGCGCGUAGGCGGUUUUUUAAGUCUGAUGUGAAAGCCCACGGCUCAACCGUGGAGGGUCAUUGGAAACUGGAAAACUUGAGUGCAGAAGAGGAAAGUGGAAUUCCAUGUGUAGCGGUGAAAUGCGCAGAGAUAUGGAGGAACACCAGUGGCGAAGGCGACUUUCCGGUCUGUAACUGACGCUGAUGUGCGAAAGCGUGGGGAUCAAACAGGAUUAGAUACCCUGGUAGUCCACGCCGUAAACGAUGAGUGCUAAGUGUUAGGGGGUUUCCGCCCCUUAGUGCUGCAGCUAACGCAUUAAGCACUCCGCCUGGGGA
RNAcentral lists this ribosomal RNA (821 nucleotides) under uncultured Staphylococcus sp. RNAcentral describes it as "bacterial SSU rRNA". It matches the Rfam family "Bacterial small subunit ribosomal RNA", at positions 74 to 879 of the family's 1533-position model. Lineage: Bacteria; Bacillati; Bacillota; Bacilli; Caryophanales; Staphylococcaceae. The record is from RNAcentral.